GUUGGACGUGAAAGCCCUGAGCUUAACUUGGGGAGGCCGUUCAAUACUGUCAGGCUAGAGGGAGGCAGAGGAGAGUGGAAUUCCCGGUGUAGCGGUAAAAUGCAUAGAUAUCGGGAGGAACACCAGUGGCGAAGGCGACUCUCUGGGUCUACCCUGACGCUCAGAAGCGAAAGCCAGGGGAGCAAACAGGAUUAGAGACCCUGGUAGUCCUGGCCCUAAACCAUGGGUGCUAGGUGUGGGGGUGAACAACCUCCGUGCCGAAGCCAACGCGCUAAGCACCCCGCCUGGGGACUACGGCCGCAAGGCUAAAACUCAAACGAAUUGACGGGUCCCCGCACAAGCAGCGGAGCGUGUGGUUCAAUUCGAUGCUACACGAAGAACCUUACCUGGGUUUGACAUGUAGGUGGAGCGACCUGAAAGGGGAGCGCCCGCAAGGGAGCCUGCACAGGUGCUGCAUGGCUGUCGUCAGCUCGUGCCGUGAGGUGUCGGGUUAAGUCCCGUAACGAGCGCAACCCUCGCCCUUAGUUACAAGUGUCUAAGGGGACCGCCGGCGAUAAGUCGGAGGAAGGUGGGGAUGACGUCAAGUCAGCAUGGCCCUUUGACCCAGGGCUACACACACGCUACAAUGGCCGGUACAAUGGGGAGCGAGACCGUGAGGUGGAGCGAAACCCGCAAAGCCGGUCGUAGUUCGGAUUGGAGGCUGCAACCCGCCUCCAUGAAGCCGGAGUUGCUAGUAA
RNAcentral lists this ribosomal RNA (737 nucleotides) under uncultured bacterium. RNAcentral's name for it is "bacterial SSU rRNA". It matches the Rfam family "Bacterial small subunit ribosomal RNA", at positions 587 to 1341 of the family's 1533-position model. The record is from RNAcentral.